This 269-nucleotide long non-coding RNA is filed under the name Marmota monax (woodchuck). Lineage: Eukaryota; Metazoa; Chordata; Mammalia; Rodentia; Sciuridae. The record is from RNAcentral.
UGCUUAGAGGAGCAGCCAUUUCUGCCUCUACAUGUUGUAUCUAUCUCCCUUUGUGAUUCUUUAGAAUGUUCUUUGCUUACUGUGGCUCAAUAAUAUGGCUGGAAAUCAGGAAUUGUUCUGCCUCCAGCUUUGCUCUAUAGCUCAAGAUUGUCUUCACUAUUCAGAUUCCCUUGUGCUUCCACAUAAAUUUUAGGAUGGUUUUUUCCUAGUUCUGUGUUCUUAUGACUUUGGUAUUAUCAUGGAAAUUGAAUUGAAUCUGCAAAUUUAUG